GAUCCUGGCCAGGACGAACGCUGGCGGCGCGCCUAACACAUGCAAGUCGAACGAGCGAGAGAGAGCUUGCUUUCUCGAGCGAGUGGCGAACGGGUGAGUAACGCGUGAGGAACCUGCCUCAAAGAGGGGGACAACAGUUGGAAACGACUGCUAAUACCGCAUAAGCCCACGGGUCGGCAUCGACCAGAGGGAAAAGGAGCAAUCCGCUUUGAGAUGGCCUCGCGUCCGAUUAGCUAGUUGGUG
This 243-nucleotide ribosomal RNA is filed under the name uncultured bacterium. RNAcentral describes it as "partial 16S ribosomal RNA". It matches the Rfam family "Bacterial small subunit ribosomal RNA", at positions 15 to 254 of the family's 1533-position model. The record is from RNAcentral.